GAAAUGAUGCCUGCCAGCUUCUUUGUUCCUAGAGAAGUUUCCCCACUAUCCCUGCCCCUGUAGCACAUGUUUUGAGGUUAGUAAAUAAAUCUCCUUCCUGUACUAGCCAGGUGUUUUUCAAAGUGUUGUUUCUGUGCUGUAUCUCAGCAAGGCUAUUUGUUGUGCUCUCUCUUUAAAGGCAGAGACUAAGUUUCCUCUUGCCCUCCAGGCUCUCCCAGAAUCAAGUCUACUGAUUUUUAAAGUUCCAUGUGUCAAGCCCCACUAACUGUAAGAACUCACAAAUUAUGCCCCUCUGGUUUUCAGAGCCAAAUGUUAUGGGGAUUCAUCUUCCCCAUGUGGGUUCCCCAUGGCUGGGGUGCCUGGUGUGAGGUCUGUUUCUUUCCCCUCUCAGGAUCCACAGCAUCCUUCCCUCCUGCAGAGACUCCCUGUGGGUCUCUUUAGCUCCUGACAGUGUCUCUGCCCUUCCUACCCUCUUUGAUGUGGCCUCUUCCCUAAAUUUAGCUGUGAGGAGUCUGUUCUUCCAGUCUUCAGGUCAUUUCUGGGUUAUUUACACUGAUGUGGGUGUUAUGUAGUUGUACCCAUGGUAUUCCAUCUUCUUUCCUGGAACUCUGAGAUCUCCCGAGAAGGAAAAUGGAUGUGAAAUUGUUAAGAGCAAGAAACAAAUGGAACCAGAGAGGAUAAGCUAGAAACUUGGUGGACAAACCGGAAUCUGUGUUUGUAUUUCACUGCCUUCAAGCCUUGAUCUUUGAUGAUUCAGAUGAACCCUGAAAGCCAUAUGUUGAAGUAGCACAAGAUGGAAGGAGGCUGAGUUUCUGGGUCACUGUCAGACUAGAAAGGUUUAUGUGUACUCUUGGAUAAAUAUUGAGCCACUGCCAUGUAUAAACCACCAUGCUGGGCCCUAUAGGCAAUGCAAAAAGAAUAUGACAGACUGUCUCACAGUGUCUGCUCUCCAGGAUCUUAAAUUUUUGAGGUAAGAUCUAUUCAAAUACAUAAUAUGGAAUACUAUGUUAUAAAUGCCAAGAGUUAUAGGCAGUAAGUGAUGCAGGGACUUAAUCCUGAGAAGGGAUACAGAACCCCUCACUGAGGCAAUUAGAGGAGCUUUAUCAGUAGAGACAGCAUUUGUGAUGCAUCUUCCAAAAAGGGAAGAUUUGAUGUAUUGAAUAAAUUGAACAGCUAUACCCAAAGCAUACAAAACAAGGCAGGAUGGUUUCUGGCAAGGGUGUCUUCAGACCCUUCCAUGAUUUUAAUAGAUAGAUUGAGGCAUUCUUGACACAUGUUGAUUGGCAUGAUUCUGGGAUUGUUUGACAAGUCCAUUAUCCAUAAAAAUAAGCAGAUUUGGGGUUCCUAGUACAUAGGGUGAAGUAAAAAUCGUUCUCACAUUAUAAUGCAGAAUUGUAACAAAAAUAUAUAUUUGGUAUUGGGAAACUUAAGUUCAGAUUCUGACUUCACAGGAUAAGCAGAAAUAGUCACUCAAUGUCUUUGAGCCUAUAUUAAUUCAUAGUAUAUUAUAACUCAUCGUGUGUAUUUUAUUUGCUUCAACUACAACUUUCAUGAUAUAUUUUCAAGAAAUAUGUUCCAGAGGAAAAAAAAGUCUUCAGCUAGGUCAGGUUUUAUUACAAGGAGCUCUGCCAUUUAACUCUUAUAGCCAGUAGAUCCAAUGAUGCUUGAAGUGUUUAUGGCAGGUUAGGAUGAGAUAUGGAACUAGUAUUAAGGUCGAGUAGAAAAACCACAACAGAAAGGCUGAAGAAAACUUGCAUCCUCUUCAUCAUGCAUUAUUAAAAAAUAGCCCUGGGCUUGCUACUGAAUCUUCGUAGAUACUGAAUAUCUGAGCAGAUGACCAUGUUACCUGAGUUGUGACCCGUUUUUCACUGGGUGUUUUCUGAUCCAUCUAGACAAAGAACUUUCAACAUUUCUUUUAGUGCCCUUCUGCUAGAGCCAAACAAGUUUUAUAUGUCUGAACAAAUCUAUGUCACUGUAAUUUUUGAAGGAUAUUUUCAUAAGUUACAGAAUUCUAAAUUGACAGUUUUCUUUUUCCUUCAGCAUUUUAAAGAUGUCAGGCCAUUGUCAUUAUGCCUUUCCUUGAUUUUGAUGAAAAGUCUGCCAUACAUAUUACUGGAUUUUUCCCCUGAAUGUAGCAUGCAUUUGUGUGUGGGAGUAGGGAUGAGAGUACGUGUGUCUCCUUUUUUUUUUUUUUAACAUUCAUUUAUUUUUGAGAGAGAGAGAGAGAGACAGAGCGCAAGCAGGAGAGGGACAGAGAGAGAGGGAGGCACAGAAUCCAGUCAAAUGCUCUACCCCUGAGCUAUACCCCUGUGAGGCACAGAAUCCAAAGCAGGCUCCAGGCUCUGGCUCUGAGCUGUCAGCACAGAGCCCAACGCAGGGUUCAAACUCACCAACCGUGAGAUCAUGACCUGAGCCAAAGUAGGAUACUUAACUGACUGAGCCAUCCAGGCCUCCUAGGAGUGGAGUAUCUGAUUUUAAGAUUUUCUCUUCUCUGUUUUUCAGAUGUUUGACUUUGUAUUUAUCCAAUUUGAGAUCCAGUUCAUUUUUUGUCUAGGAUCUGUGGGUUGAUAUCUUUCAUCAAUUUUGGACAUUUCUUGAGUAUCAUCUCAAAUAUUGGCUCUAUUUUCUUCCUAUUCUACUUCUUAGAAUCAAAUACAUGUACAUUUGAACACAGGUUUUGGAUGCUUUUCUCAGUUCCUUAAUUUUUUUUCUCCUUUUAUUUUAACUUAGAUAAUUUCUAUUAAUUUGACUCCUGAUUCACUUAUUCUUUCUUCUGCUUUUUUUUAGGCUACUGUAAAAUAAAUGGAACGAAUUCUACAUUUAUGACACUGUAUUUUUAAAUCCUAGAAUUUCCUCUUUUUAAAAAUAAGUUUCUAGUAUUCUACUAAAAUGAAGUUCCCCAUCUGCAUCUAUAUUGUCUACCACCUUUUCCAUUCGUUUUGAAAAUGUAUGCAUAUUAAAUUUUUAUAUGCUAAUUCCAAUAUUUUGGUCACAUGUGGGUUAACUUGUAUUGACUAUUUAUUGUAUUGAUGGAUGACAUUGCCCUGUGUGUUUGCAUACCACAUAUAUUUUUUUAAUUUUAUGCCAGAAAUUGUAUAUAAAAGUACUGUAAAUAUUAUUUACUGAAGAAAAAGAAAUCCCAUGGGGCACCUGGGUGGCUCAGUUGGUUGGGCGUCCAACUUUGGCUCAGGUCAUGAUUUCACUGCUCAUGAGUUCGAGCCCUGAAUCAGGCUCUGUGCUGAUAGCUAGGUGCCUGGAGCCUGCAUCAGAUUCUGUCUCUGUCUCUCUGCCCCUCCCCUGCUUGCGCUCUGUCUCUCUCUCUCUCUCUCUCUCUCUCAAAUAUAUAAACAAAAAAAACCAUUAAAGAAAAAAAAAGAAAUCCCAUGCCUGUGGCAGGCUGCAAGUGAUGAAGCUGAAGCAGUCUAAGUUGGAGUUGAGCUAGCUCUGGGGCUGGUUGUAGCUUUUGUAACAUCUGUAGUUCACCACAGGUUUCAAAUGUUUUAUGAAAGGAAUUGGGACUAGUUUAUCUGAGCACCAGUGUAAGUCUUUAUGUUUUACAGCUCAAUAGCCAUCUUUCCAUGCCAUUCCAAUUUUUUUUUUGGUUCCUAUGGUGGUCUUUUGGCUCUCUCCUGACUUUCUGAGCGUCACAGACUAUUUCUACAUUGCUGCUGUGGUCUUAGCUUUUGGCACGCCAAUGCCUUACACUCAAGUAAGGGCUGUGAGUGACUCAGGGGAUGAUGUUUCUCAGCUCUGCUGUCAUGCACCCAGGUUUUAGUUGCUGUGUACUAGAUCCAUCUUUUCAAGAAAUCUCUCUUACCUUCUUUCCUUGUCCACAGGCUUUAGAGCACUACCGUAUGCAUUCUGUAAGGCUUUGAGUUACAGCAAUCUUUCCCUGCUUUCCACUCAGCUUCUAUCCUUCAGCUGGCUAUACAUGUGUUCAGGGAAAGCUCUGAUAAAAUUAGGAUAAAUUUGGUGAUUGAGCACACUCUCACAGGACCUCCUUCAUGACAGCCACCUUGGCUAUAAAAAAAGUUGUUAAAAUUUUGGCUAGUUUCUUCUUACCUCUGUCUACAGUGGGUUUGCUCCACCUCCUGUGCCCAUGGAUUUGGGUUUCUUCUCUCCUAGGAAGGGUUUUUCCAUUUUGGGAAUUUAAUCCAUUUGUAUUUCUUUUUACCUUCAACUCUCUAAUCAAAAAAAACCCAAAACCAUAAUUUUAUAAUUUGUCUUCUUGUUCUCUUUAUUAAAAUGAAA
Long non-coding RNA from Acinonyx jubatus (cheetah), 4251 nucleotides. RefSeq lists it as uncharacterized. The transcript has 3 exons. Lineage: Eukaryota; Metazoa; Chordata; Mammalia; Carnivora; Felidae. The record is from RefSeq and is a predicted model, not a curated record.